This 467-nucleotide ribosomal RNA is filed under the name uncultured bacterium. Its description in RNAcentral is "partial 16S ribosomal RNA". It matches the Rfam family "Bacterial small subunit ribosomal RNA", at positions 28 to 506 of the family's 1533-position model. The record is from RNAcentral.
GACGAACGCUGGCGGCGUGCUUAACACAUGCAAGUCGAACGGAAAGGCCCUGCUUUUGUGGGGUGCUCGAGUGGCGAACGGGUGAGUAACACGUGAGUAACCUGCCCUUGACUUUGGGAUAACUUCAGGAAACUGGGGCUAAUACCGGAUAGGAGCUCCUGCUGCAUGGUGGGGGUUGGAAAGUUUCGGCGGCUGGGGAUGGACUCGCGGCUUAUCAGCUUGUUGGUGGGGUAGUGGCUUACCAAGGCUUUGACGGGUAGCCGGCCUGAGAGGGUGACCGGCCAAAUGGGGAAUGAGAUACGGCCCAGACUCCUACGGGAGGAAGGAGGGGGGAAUUUUGCACAAUGGGCGGAAGCCGGAUGCAGCAACGCCGGGGGGGGGAUGACGGCCUUCGGGUUGUAAACCGCUUUCCCCUGUGACGAAGGGGGAGUGAGGGUAAUGGGUAAAGAAGCACCGGCUAACUACGU